UCUACAAAUGACUCAAUUUUGCUCCUUUUUUAUAGCUGAACAAUAUUCCAGUGUAUAUAUACGGAUCAUAUCGUCCUUAUCUAUUCACUCUGUUCCCAAACACCACCACCUUUGGAACAGAACUAUUUCAUUAAGUGGACUCUGACAAUCCAAGGAGGGGAAGGAAGCAAAUUGGAAACAUGAUAAUUUCAUUUCCUGAAGCUCCAGAGAAGCUUCAUACUCUUCGGAGGACUUAAGCUCAGAAGUUUAUAAGCCAUGGAAGGAUGAAAACUGCCCUGUCAGACUAACUACCACAUCUGAGACCUGACUGCUGGCACCUUCCAUGGUGGAGGGGAGGAGUGGACCGGAGCUCGUGAAUCGACCAGUGAAGUCAGCAACUGGUGAAGAAAGCGGGCAGAGAGAGACAGAGACGAAGCGUAAGCAGAUGAUAAAAUGACACGUUAAACAGAGAAAGCAGGGAGAACGAAAGCUGUCUGUUGAAGACAGUCAAUCAGUAGUUCAGGUAAAUCAGAAGCUCGCUCCCACAACUGCUCUGUUCUCAUCAAAGCUCAAAGCCACUGCCAGCCCCGUGGGAGGACUUGGCCAUAGCCAGGCUUGUAUGAAGCCUGUGGCUACAGCUGACUCCCAGACCUCACCUGAGUGUCCUGUGAUGCCUUGAAGACCCCAGCAUCAGCCCAAGGAACCUCCCUUCUCUGUGAGGCCCUCACACUGAGCCUCUAGAACAGGGUCAGCACACUUUUUUUGACCACGUGGCAAAUAUUUGAGACCUCCCAAAUAUGUGAGGUCAUACUGCCUGUGCAGGGACUUCUGAACUCAGGCACUGUCAGUCCAAUGCAGCCACGAGAAAGAGCCAGAAGGAGUGGGUCCCAGCAAAGUGGAUUAUGCACAACAACAUUUUCAUGUCACAGCAUCUUACUGCGUCACAAACUAUUCCUCUUCUUUUGAUGGACAUUCAGCUAUUUAAAAAACAUAAGAAGACAUUCUUGAGGGACACACAGAAAAUGGGACUUGGCCGUGAUGGGACUUGGUAGAUGGGACUUGGUCGUGAGCUGCAGUCCCCUGGCCCCUGACGGGCAUGUCUCCUGAUGGACGUGUCUGACCUUUCCAGUUGUCUCCUGUUCCCCAUUGUCCCCAUGCCACAUCGUUCCCUAGACUACUUCCUCUGCCUCACCCCCACACUCUUUCAGACCCUUCCGUCUGCACACUGGACCUGCUCUGCACAAUCUCUGUCAUCCUCUGCUUUUCUUGGAGAUUCACCUCCCGCCAUUGACAUCCUGGGUCUGGGGGAGUGGAUGCCCCUACAGACCAGUCCUGUCCACUGGAGGCUACAGGUGUAUUUGAUUCUUUUUUCGUAUCCUUGCUCUGCCAUGGAAAUUCUAGACUCCAUCUUUUUAAACCUGGUGUCUCCCCUAUAAUUUAAGGGGUAUGGCAUACAUAUCUGACUCUGCAGCCCCAUUUCCUAUUAUUCCUAGUUUCCAUUUUCCUACAUCGAUGGUUUAUCAAAGGCAGGGCGGUGGGAAUGUCUGUUCCUAGAUAUCGUUUAAAGUCACACAAGCACGGUGAUAAUAAA
Long non-coding RNA from Odocoileus virginianus texanus, 1570 nucleotides. RefSeq lists it as uncharacterized. The record is from RefSeq and is a predicted model, not a curated record. Lineage: Eukaryota; Metazoa; Chordata; Mammalia; Artiodactyla; Cervidae.